RNAcentral lists this ribosomal RNA (274 nucleotides) under uncultured bacterium. RNAcentral's name for it is "partial 16S ribosomal RNA". It matches the Rfam family "Bacterial small subunit ribosomal RNA", at positions 523 to 796 of the family's 1533-position model. The record is from RNAcentral.
AUACGGAGGGUGCAAGCGUUGUCCGGAUUUAUUGGGUUUAAAGGGUGCGUAGGUGGUUUUUUAAGGCAGUGGUGAAAGCCUACAGCUUAACUGUAGAGGUUCCAUUGAUACUGGGGAACUUGAGUAUGGACGAGGUAGGCGGAAUUUGUGGUGUAGCGGUGAAAUGCAUAGAUACCACAAGGAACACCGAUAGCGAAGGCAGCUUACUGGGCCAUAACUGACACUGAGGCACGAAAGCGUGGGGAGCGAACAGGAUUAGAUACCCUAGUAGUCC